UAGUCCAUGCCGUAAACGAUGAGCACUAGGUGUCGGGGGUCGAACCUCGGUGCCGCAGUUAACACAUUAAGUGCUCCGCCUGGGGAGUACGGUCGCAAGAUUAAAACUCAAAGGAAUUGACGGGGGCCCGCACAAGUAGCGGAGCAUGUGGUUUAAUUCGACGCAACGCGAAGAACCUUACCUAGACUUGACAUCCUAAGAAUUUGGCAGAGAUGCCGGAGUGCCCUUCGGGGAACUUAGAGACAGGUGGUGCAUGGUUGUCGUCAGCUCGUGUCGUGAGAUGUUGGGUUAAGUCCCGCAACGAGCGCAACCCUUAUCGUUAGUUGCUACCAUUAAGUUGAGCACUCUAGCGAGACUGCCCGGGUAACCGGGAGGAAGGUGGGGAUGACGUCAAAUCAUCAUGCCCCUUAUGUCUAGGGCUACACACGUGCUACAAUGGCUGGUACAAUGAGCUGCAAACCCGCGAGGGGGAGCCAAUCUAUAAAACCAGUCUCAGUUCGGAUUGUAGGCUGAAACUCG
RNAcentral lists this ribosomal RNA (519 nucleotides) under uncultured bacterium. RNAcentral describes it as "bacterial SSU rRNA". It matches the Rfam family "Bacterial small subunit ribosomal RNA", at positions 791 to 1314 of the family's 1533-position model. The record is from RNAcentral.